GGUUAAUGAUGAGUCAACUUCAGGUCCGUGUUUUUGAAACUAAUUCAUUACC
This 52-nucleotide small nucleolar RNA is filed under the name Ciona intestinalis (vase tunicate). RNAcentral describes it as "Small nucleolar RNA SNORD18 (ENSCING00000010996.1)". Lineage: Eukaryota; Metazoa; Chordata; Ascidiacea; Phlebobranchia; Cionidae. The record is from RNAcentral.